Molecule: ribosomal RNA, 600 nt
Filed under: uncultured Actinomycetes bacterium
Lineage: Bacteria; Bacillati; Actinomycetota; Actinomycetes
Description: bacterial SSU rRNA
Rfam family: Bacterial small subunit ribosomal RNA
Source: RNAcentral
GCGAGGUAACGGCUCACCAAGGCUUCGACGGGUAGCUGGUCUGAGAGGAUGAUCAGCCACACUGGGACUGAGACACGGCCCAGACUCCUACGGGAGGCAGCAGUAGGGAAUCUUGCACAAUGGGCGAAAGCCUGAUGCAGCAACGCCGCGUGCGGGAAGAAGGCCCUAGGGUUGUAAACCGCUUUCAGCAGGGAAGAAAGUGACGGUACCUGUAGAAGAAGGUGCGGCCAACUACGUGCCAGCAGCCGCGGUGACACGUAGGCACCAAGCGUUGUCCGGAUUUAUUGGGCGUAAAGAGCUCGUAGGCGGUUCAGUGAGUCGGGUGUGAAAACUCUGGGCUUAACCCAGAGACGCCACCCGAUACUGCUGUGACUAGAGUGCGGUAGGGGAGCGGGGAAUUCCUGGUGUAGCGGUGAAAUGCGCAGAUAUCAGGAGGAACACCAGUGGCGAAGGCGCCGCUCUGGGCCGUGACUGACGCUGAGGAGCGAAAGCGUGGGUAGCAAACAGGAUUAGAUACCCUGGUAGUCCACGCCGUAAACGUUGGGCACUAGGUGUGGGUCUCAACCAACGAGAUCCGCGCCGUCGCUAACGCAUUAAGUG